Molecule: long non-coding RNA, 704 nt
Filed under: Papio anubis (olive baboon)
Lineage: Eukaryota; Metazoa; Chordata; Mammalia; Primates; Cercopithecidae
Description: lncRNA (ENSPANG00000041326.1)
Source: RNAcentral
GCUGGAUGAAACACCUUCACCACGUCCAUUUCCAUUCGGACUGAUGUGAGAAUUUGAAAAGCACUAUGGUGGAGUAGAAAGAACAAGGAACUGUACUAUUUAAAGGGCAGAGAGAUGGGAGCAUCAGUAACAGAACGCAGGGACCAUUAUGCCUAAGGAUUAGACAAUGAAAGGGCAAAUCAGUUGAGUCCAAAGGAGUCAUCACUGAGGAUGAGAGAAGUGAGAGAGCAUGGAGUCUUGGAAACCAAGAGGCCAGCCCAUUUCCAUCAGCAACCAGAGGAGAAGUCAAUGUGAGUCGUGGAGGAGCUGCAAGUUGAGACGAGUCUAGAAAUAGGGACCAGAUUUGGGACAGCUGUCUUGCCCAAACACCUAAAGACAUUGAGAAGAUUCUCCUGAGAUUGCAUGGGACAGAGGCCAGGCCCUGUUGGGGUGAGCUGGAUGGAGGCAGGCUGGAAGCAGGUGGCAAGGCCAUCAGAGUCCUGGCCGAGAAUGUGCACAGGACACCUGUCAUGGGCAUCUGUUGGAGAUUGAGUGUCAACCAGUUUCUCAUCUGGGUCAGGCUUAGGGGAGAGGGUACUGUCGUUCUCCAAAUACACCAAACUUUCACACAUAUUUAUGUUGUUAGGUCUUUGCAAAUGUCUCUCCACUUUCCUGGAGUUCCUUUCUCCCUUUUCUGUGUGUAGACUCUAAUUCAUCCUUUAAAA